GGGAUUGUGGCUUAGUGAUAAAGUGCUUGCUUGACAUGCAUGAAACCAUGGGUUAGAUCCCUCAGUACCA
This is a non-coding RNA of Dipodomys ordii (Ord's kangaroo rat), 70 nucleotides long. Lineage: Eukaryota; Metazoa; Chordata; Mammalia; Rodentia; Heteromyidae. The record is from Rfam.